RNAcentral lists this ribosomal RNA (497 nucleotides) under uncultured bacterium. Its description in RNAcentral is "partial 16S ribosomal RNA". It matches the Rfam family "Bacterial small subunit ribosomal RNA", at positions 28 to 507 of the family's 1533-position model. The record is from RNAcentral.
GAUGAACGCUGGCGGCGUGCCUAAUACAUGCAAGUCGAGCGAACAGACGAGGAGCUUGCUCCUUUGACGUUAGCGGCGGACGGGUGAGUAACACGUGGUUAACCUACCUAUAAGACUGGGAUAACUUCGGGAAACCGGAGCUAAUACCGGAUAAUAUUUCGAACCGCAUGGUUCGAUAGUGAAAGAUGGCUUUUCUAUCACUUAUAGAUGGACCUGCGCCGUAUUAGCUAGUUGGUAAGGUAACGGCUUACCAAGGCAACGAUACGUAGCCGACCUGAGAGGGUGAUCGGCCACACUGGAACUGAGACACGGUCCAGACUCCUACGGGAGGCAGCAGUAGGGAAUCUUCCGCAAAGGGCGAAAGCCUGACGGAGCAACGCCGCGUGAGUGAUGAAGGUCUUCGGAUCGUAAAACUCUGUUAUUAGGGAAGAACAAACGUGUAAGUAACUGUGAACGUAUUGACGGUACCUAAUCAGAAAGCAACGGCUAACUACGUG